AUCCAGCUGACGAGUCCAAAAUAGGACUAAACGCGCGUCCUGGAU
Molecule: non-coding RNA, 45 nt
Organism: Schistosoma haematobium
Lineage: Eukaryota; Metazoa; Platyhelminthes; Trematoda; Strigeidida; Schistosomatidae
Source: Rfam